AACGUUAGCCCUUCCCACUGGCGUGUUAGUGAGAUGAGGAGAGAAGAGCAAUACACAGGACUAAAAAUAACCAUAUUCCUAGCAUUAGGAUCCUUUGAAAGCACAGGCUUUGCAAACAGACUUUUACGAUAUGGACUCGACAGUAAUGCAACAACAUAUCUACUGUAGUUAACUAUGGCAUGUGGGACCAGCUCAGCGUUGACCAUGAGAAUUUCACGUUCUUUUUACGUGCAAGAGAAGCUGUCAAGACACAGACACAACCUCGGCAGACAACCAUACCUCCAAACAACUUCAGCAAGGAAUAUUAGAGUGGAAAGGAUUUGCCCUGAAGUGAACAAUCGGGUGAACUACACAUUGUAACACUCCCUGGUGCACCUCUUAGACCAAGAAGUCAUCAACAUGGAGGACAAUAUGACUAAAUUCUGCACUUCAAACCUGUCAAUUAAGCCAAAUUGGACUAAAUAGAGUAGUGUAGUGCAAUCAUGAAAUGCACACAGGAUCUGUUUCUCUCUGUUGUGGCAAAUAUGUAUGAGCAAGAGUUGCAAUCAUCGCUGACUUGGAUGUCUACCUUUGAAUGUCUCUCUUCUUUUAAAUCAAGCAGUGAACAGUGAAUAUAACCUUUUUUAGGAUGCAUUGCUUUACCUCAUAAAUGUAAUCCAAAGACAUGUAUGAAAAAAUGACAUAAAUUCUCUAACUUUUGUUCUCUAAUCUUUUUUUGUAAGCAGUGUAGUCUACUGAAUAGGCAUGUAGACUUCUACGGUGAAGUCUAUAAAUAAAAUAAUCCAUAUUUGGUUA
Molecule: long non-coding RNA, 795 nt
Organism: Ctenopharyngodon idella (grass carp)
Lineage: Eukaryota; Metazoa; Chordata; Actinopteri; Cypriniformes; Xenocyprididae
Exons: 4
Source: RefSeq, a predicted model, not a curated record